AUUGAACGCUGGCGGCAGGCCUAACACAUGCAAGUCGAGCGGAUGAAGGGAGCUUGCUCCUGGGUCCAGCGGCGGACGGGUGAGUAAUGCCUAGGAAUCUGCCUAGUAGUGGGGGAUAACGUCCGGAAACGGGCGCUAAUACCGCAUACGUCCUGAGGGAGAAAGUGGGGGAUCUUCGGACCUCACGCUAUCAGAUGAGCCUAGGUCGGAUUAGCUAGUUGGUGGGGUAAAGGCCUACCAAGGCGACGAUCCGUAACUGGUCUGAGAGGAUGAUCAGUCACACUGGAACUGAGACACGGUCCAGACUCCUACGGGAGGCAGCAGUGGGGAAUAUUGGACAAUGGGCGAAAGCCUGAUCCAGCCAUGCCGCGUGUGUGAAGAAGGUCUUCGGAUUGUAAAGCACUUUAAGUUGGGAGGAAGGGCAGUAAGUUAAUACCUUGCUGUUUUGACGUUACCAACAGAAUAAGCACCGGCUAACUUCGUG
Molecule: ribosomal RNA, 484 nt
Filed under: uncultured bacterium
Lineage: Bacteria
Description: partial 16S ribosomal RNA
Rfam family: Bacterial small subunit ribosomal RNA
Source: RNAcentral